GUAUAAAGUUUAAAGGGCCAGUUAAGUCCCAGUAAAAGACAUUCUAAAACAUACUAAGAGUUUGUAAGACAUAGAAGCCUCUCUGCGAAGAGUCAACUGCAGACAAGUCUGCAACCAAAACCUCACAAAAAGAACUUCUACAAAAAGUGCACAGGUGGAUGAAUAGAUUCAGAGAAGACGUGCACAUGCCAAAAGGCCAGCAACAGACUUCUCCAAAGCGUUUUCAAUAAUGAUCCUUCCGCAGGUUCACCUACGGAAA
Molecule: unclassified non-coding RNA, 259 nt
Filed under: uncultured fungus
Lineage: Eukaryota; Fungi
Description: sequence contains ITS1
Source: RNAcentral